RNAcentral lists this RNase P RNA (333 nucleotides) under Gramella sp. KN1008. Its description in RNAcentral is "RNase P RNA component class A". It matches the Rfam family "Bacterial RNase P class A". From Rfam's summary of the family: Ribonuclease P (RNase P) is a ubiquitous endoribonuclease, found in archaea, bacteria and eukarya as well as chloroplasts and mitochondria. Its best characterised activity is the generation of mature 5'-ends of tRNAs by cleaving the 5'-leader elements of precursor-tRNAs. Lineage: Bacteria; Pseudomonadati; Bacteroidota; Flavobacteriia; Flavobacteriales; Flavobacteriaceae. The record is from RNAcentral.
CAAGCAGGCCGCCUUAUCGCUCCGACAUUUCCUGAUGUUAUCAGGAUCGGGGAGGAAAGUCCGGACACCAUAGGGUAGCAUAGUGGGUAACACCCACCGUCCGCCCCCGGCGGGCAGGACCAGUGCAACAGAAAGAAUGUACAGGUUAAGCUGUAGUGAAAUCAGGUAAACUCUAUGCGGUGCAAUGCCAUGUAUACCGGCAUUUAAGGGUUACCCGCCCGUUGCCGGAGGGUAGGCAGCUAAAAAUUGAUGGUAACAUUAAUUUCAGAUAAAUGAUAAGGGGCCCGAUCAGUUAUCGGGUUACAGAAUCCGGCUUACAGGCCUGCUUUUUUA